This 258-nucleotide ribosomal RNA is filed under the name Triticum aestivum (bread wheat). RNAcentral describes it as "partial small subunit ribosomal RNA". The record is from RNAcentral. Lineage: Eukaryota; Viridiplantae; Streptophyta; Magnoliopsida; Poales; Poaceae.
ACUUGUUGUAUUUGUGGCAAUGGAGAGGAGGAUGAGCACCAUGUUGUGAUUGCUUGCACGAAGAGCAGAGCUCUGAGGGCAGCGAUGAGAGAAAAAUGGGGUUUACCGUCAGAGAAUAGGUUUUGGUAUACCGGGAAUGACUGGAUGCAGGUGUUGUUAAGCACUGAGAACGAGGACAUGCGAGCAAAACUCCUCCUUCUGAUAUGGCGAUGCUAACAUCUACGUGAGGAUUGUGUGCAUAGCAAUGGCAAAGAGGCG